RNAcentral lists this unclassified non-coding RNA (194 nucleotides) under plant metagenome. RNAcentral describes it as "partial contains small subunit ribosomal RNA, internal transcribed spacer 1, and 5.8S ribosomal RNA". The record is from RNAcentral.
UUUCCGUAGGUGAACCUGCGGAAGGAUCAUUACAGAGUUCACGACCGAAAGGGUCCACCGCCCACCCUCUAGUAUUAUUACUUUGUUGCCGUGGCGACAGCAAGCUCUCCAGACAAUACUAAAACUCUGUUUAUUAAUGACUUCUGAGUACUAUAUAAUAGUUAAAACUUUCAACAACGGAUCUCUUGGUUCUG